This is a small nuclear RNA of Leptonychotes weddellii (Weddell seal), 104 nucleotides long. Lineage: Eukaryota; Metazoa; Chordata; Mammalia; Carnivora; Phocidae. The record is from RefSeq and is a predicted model, not a curated record.
GUGCUCAUUUUGGCAGCACAUAUACCAGAAUGGGAACAAUACAUAGAUUAGCAUAAUUCCUGUGUAAGGACGACAUACAAAUCUGUGAAGUGCUCCAUAUUUUU